Molecule: unclassified non-coding RNA, 472 nt
Filed under: Hevea brasiliensis (rubber tree)
Lineage: Eukaryota; Viridiplantae; Streptophyta; Magnoliopsida; Malpighiales; Euphorbiaceae
Source: RNAcentral
GUGUGUGUGCGCGCGCGCGCACGCGUGUAUAUAUCUUUAUAUAUCUUGAAUGAUGAAGAUGGAUUGUAGUAUUUCAUUUGUUUUUCGCUGUAAAAGAGCAUAGUCGAAUUCCUGGCUGCAUAAUGUUUUUUCUUCUUUGGAAGGAGUGAAGGGAUACUUGCAUUAGUGAUAAGUCUUCUUUCUAUAUUUUUCCCCUUUUUUGAAUGAUAAGGUUGUCAUUGCCAAAGUUUGAAGCAUGUGUUGGGCUGAUAUUGUUUUGAAGGACAGGAUGGUAAGCAUUGUGCUUCUGUUCAAACUAACAAUUUCUGGCACAAUAAUUGUCUUGUUUAUCCUAUCACUAUAAAAAGUACUUUAUUUUGUUUAGGGCUUGAAGUAGUCUGAUAUUCAAUGUAGAAUGUUAAAUAUUCUGUUCUCAGGUUCAAUGUGGCUUGGGCCGAACUGGUUAUCUUUGGGCAUAUGAAGCCUAUGGUGU